Molecule: small RNA, 110 nt
Filed under: Candidatus Protochlamydia amoebophila
Lineage: Bacteria; Pseudomonadati; Chlamydiota; Chlamydiia; Parachlamydiales; Parachlamydiaceae
Description: PyrR binding site
Source: RNAcentral
GAAACUUUUAAUGUAAAUCGGCUAAAACCAAAAGGUAGCGAUGAAUAGGCCUCAAAUUUGUGAGUUCUAAUUUUUUAAGCCCAUCAAAACAUUUGAUGGGCUUUUUUUUA